AUACGGAGGGUGCAAGCGUUACUCGGAAUCACUGGGCGUAAAGCGUGCGCAGGCGGCUUGAUAAGUUGGAUGUGAAAGCCUACGGCUCAACCGUAGAACUGCAUCCAAAACUGUCAGGCUAGAGUGUGGGAGAGGAAGAUGGAAUUAGUUGUGUAGGGGUAAAAUCCGUAGAGAUAACUAGGAAUACCAAAAGCGAAGGCAAUCUUCUGGAACACUACUGACGCUGAGGCGCGAAGGCGUGGGGAGCAAACAGGAUUAGAAACCCUAGUAGUCC
Molecule: ribosomal RNA, 274 nt
Filed under: uncultured bacterium
Lineage: Bacteria
Description: partial 16S ribosomal RNA
Rfam family: Bacterial small subunit ribosomal RNA
Source: RNAcentral